This 215-nucleotide long non-coding RNA is filed under the name Elaeis guineensis (African oil palm). RNAcentral describes it as "long non-coding RNA (EGUI_LNC026258)". The record is from RNAcentral. Lineage: Eukaryota; Viridiplantae; Streptophyta; Magnoliopsida; Arecales; Arecaceae.
AGAGAGCUAAAACUCUACUCCUCUAUUUGCAUGUUCUGAUUUGAGCAUCGGAGGAUCCUUGUCAAAGCAUAAUCCUCUGACUCAGACUUUUUUGCAGGUUGCUCUAGUAUUGCACUUCUCAAUUUUUGACGUCAACUAGAAAUAAGCCGCAAUAGAUAGAGGAAGGGCUGAAUCUCAGGUCUUAUAGAAAGAAACAGAUAAGUCAGAAACUCUAA